RNAcentral lists this ribosomal RNA (486 nucleotides) under uncultured Glomeromycotina. Its description in RNAcentral is "SSU rRNA". It matches the Rfam family "Eukaryotic small subunit ribosomal RNA", at positions 562 to 1052 of the family's 1831-position model. The record is from RNAcentral. Lineage: Eukaryota; Fungi; Glomeromycota.
UGGUGCCAGCAGCCGCGGUAAUUCCAGCUCCAAUAGCGUAUAUUAAAGUUGUUGCAGUUAAAAAGCUCGUAGUUGAAUUUCGGGGUUAGUAAGUUGGUCAUGCCUCUGGUAUGCACUGGCUUUACUGAUUCCUCCUUCUUGAUGAACUGUAAUGUCAUUAAUUUGGUGUUGCAGGGAAUCAGGACUGUUACUUUGAAAAAAUUAGAGUGUUUAAAGCAGGCAUAAGCUUGAAUACAUUAGCAUGGAAUAAUGAAAUAGGACGUUUGAUCCUAUUUUGUUGGUUUCUAGGAUUGACGUAAUGAUUAAUAGGGAUAGUUGGGGGCAUUAGUAUUCAAUUGUCAGAGGUGAAAUUCUUGGAUUUAUUGAAGACUAACUACUGCGAAAGCAUUUGCCAAGGAUGUUUUCAUUAAUCAAGAACGAAAGUUAGGGGAUCGAAGACGAUCAGAUACCGUCGUAGUCUUAACCAUAAACUAUGCCGACUAGGGA